Molecule: long non-coding RNA, 1371 nt
Organism: Hydra vulgaris (swiftwater hydra)
Lineage: Eukaryota; Metazoa; Cnidaria; Hydrozoa; Anthoathecata; Hydridae
Source: RefSeq, a predicted model, not a curated record
AUGAUACAUAUUCAACAAUGACAAUCUUGUAUAAUGGCAGAGUUAAAAAACUUAAAAAGAUAACAAAAGGCAUCUUUUACACAAUUUCUUACUGGGCUCCAGAUGAAACUUAUACAGAAGCUGUUGACCAUAGCAUGAAAAAAUUCCAGCUGGUUGCUGAUGUUGUAUCAGGCGAGUUAGUAUUUUCGUAAUUUCUUAUGCUAUCUUAUUGUGGAACUUGCAAAAUUAAUAUACAGCAAGAAUUAGAACUUGCAAAAUAAAGGUUAAACAAGUAGUGGAAUUUUCGUUGUAAAUGUACUGCUAAUAGUGGAACUUGUGAUUUACAGGAAGUAGUGGAACUUGCAAAAUAUAUGUACAGCAAGUAGUGGAACUUGCAACAUAAAUGUAUAGCGAGUAGUGAAACUUGCAAAAUAUAUGUACAGCAUGUAGUGGAGCUUGCAACAUAAACAUACAGCGAGUAGUGGAACUUGCAAAAUAUAUGUACAGCAAGUAGUGGAACUUGCAACAUAAACGUAGAGCAAGUAGUGGAACUUGCAAAAUAUAUGUACAACAAGUAGUGGAGCUUGCAACAUAAACGUACAGCAAGUAGUGGAACUUGCAAAAUAUAUGUCCAGCAAGUAGUGGAACUUGCAACAUAAACGCACAGCGAGUAGUGGAACUUGCAAUAUAUAAGUACAGCAAGUAGUGGAACUUGCAACAUAAAUCUACAGCGAUUAGUAAAGUAAUUAAAAUUUUAGUAAUUAAAAUUUUUAGGUCGGAGGGGGGGGGGGUUUGACAUCUCCCUCAGAAAAUAUGAAGACUGAUGCAUCUUGUAAUACUACUACUCAAAUAAGGUCAGAGGGGGUAACUGCUACUCCCUUCUUCAAAAAUAAAUACUUUGAUGCAUCUUGUUUUAGUACUACUGUAUUAUGGUUAGAGGGGGUAACUCCCACCCCCUCUGCAAAAAUGAGUACUCUGAUGCAUCUUUUAAUACUACUACUGUAAUAUGGUUAGAGGGGGCGGGAUACGCCCUUUUCUCGUGUCUUUGUGUACAUCACUACUUAUAGUUUUAAAGAUGUAAAAAAAAAUUAUUCAUUUUAUAAACUUGAUCUAUUAGAUGUAUAUUUUGAAAUAAAGAUAAAAAUGAUUAUGAGAAUGAUUGUUUUUUUAAAUUAGGGUGUGUUGAAUUUUAACACCCAAGGUCCACCCCAUAUUUUUAAUAAACCUUUGAUAUUUGGCAGUGAAGUGUAAUGAAAUUGUAACAACUUUUUGCAAAUGAAAUAGACCGGUUUCCUGAAGAAACACUUUUUUAUUUAGAAAAAUCUCUUUUUAUUGACCGCAAAGACAGCGUAUCUAUGCGCCCGCCGCCGCCGACGGUAUGCCAAAUUGCUC